This 1326-nucleotide ribosomal RNA is filed under the name Triticum aestivum (bread wheat). Its description in RNAcentral is "partial small subunit ribosomal RNA". The record is from RNAcentral. Lineage: Eukaryota; Viridiplantae; Streptophyta; Magnoliopsida; Poales; Poaceae.
AUGUUUCCUCUUGGAGUCAGGCCGCCUCCUCCUAGCGCCAUGGACCGUCAUCACCACCAGCAGCAGCAGCAGCCGCCGUCGCCUCAAGGGGACCAUGCCGCCCAGCCGCGCUGCUGGGAGGAGUUCCUCCACAGGAAGACCAUCCGGGUCCUGCUCGUGGAGACCGACGACUCCACCCGGCAGGUCGUCACCGCCCUGCUCCGCCACUGCAUGUACCAAGUUAUCCCUGCUGAAAACGGCCACCAGGCGUGGGCGUAUCUCCAGGACAUGCAGAGCAACAUCGACCUUGUUCUGACAGAGGUCUUCAUGCACGGCGGUCUCUCCGGGAUCGACCUGCUCGGCAGGAUCAUGAACCACGAGGUCUGCAAGGACAUCCCCGUCAUCAGUAAGCACCCCCUCGCCGCUAUAAUGUUUCAGUAUCAGGUCCAUUUCGUCCACGUGCAUAGAUUUAUAUCUUCUUGGUUUCCAGUGAUGUCGUCGCACAAUUCGAUGGGCACGGUCCUCAGUUGCCUGUCAAAUGGUGCUGCUGACUUCUUGGCCAAGCCGAUACGUAAGAACGAGCUUAAGAACCUUUGGGCGCAUGUGUGGAGACGCUCUCACAGCUCCAGUGGCAGUGGUAGUGGAAGUGCCAUUCAGACGCAGAAGUGUACCAAAUCAAAGAGCGCUGACGAUUCCAAUAAUAACAGCAAUAACCGCAACGACGAUGCCAGCAUGGGGCUCAAUGCAAGGGAUGGCAGCGAUAAUGGUAGUGGCACUCAGAGCUCAUGGACAAAGCGUGCCGUUGAGAUCGACAGUCCACAGGACAUGUCUCCGGAUCAGUCAGUUGAUCCUCCUGAUAGCACUUGCGCGCAUGUGAGCCACCUCAAGUCAGAGAUAUGCAGCAAUAGAUUAAGAGGUGAUGAGUUCAAAGGGAAGGAGCUGGAGAUAGGUGCCCCUGGUAAUUUGAACACAGAUGAUCAAUCCUCCCCGAACGAGAGUUCGGUCAAACCAACAGAUAAUGGACGGUGUGAGUAUCUGCCACAGAACAACUCCAACGAUACAGUUAUGGAAAAUUCGGAUGAGCCAAUUGUUCGAGCUGCUGACCUAAUCGGUUCGAUGGCCAAAAACAUGGACGCCCAACAGGCAGCUAGAGCAAUAGAUGCUCCUAACUGCUCCUCACAAGUGCCGGAAGGGAAAGACGCCGACCGUGAGAACGCCAUGCCAUAUCUUGAGCUGAGCCUAAAGAGGUCGAGAUCGACCACGGAGGGUGCGGAUGCGAUCCAGGAGGAACAGAGGAACGUCGUGAGACGAUCAGACCUCUCGGCAUUCACGAGGUGCAAAGCAUAA